UUAGCUUAGUUGGUAGAGCGCAUCCAUGGCAUGGAUGAGGUCAGGAGUUCGAAUCUCCUA
RNAcentral lists this transfer RNA (60 nucleotides) under bacterium. Its description in RNAcentral is "tRNA-Ala". It matches the Rfam family "tRNA", at positions 7 to 64 of the family's 71-position model. Rfam says of the family: Transfer RNA (tRNA) molecules are approximately 80 nucleotides in length. Their secondary structure includes four short double-helical elements and three loops (D, anti-codon, and T loops). The record is from RNAcentral.